GGAGCUAAUACAUGCGACUAUACUCCCAACGCAAGGGCGGGGUGCAAUUAUUAGAACAGACCAAACGUUUUCGGACGUUGUUUGUUGACUCUGAAUACCGUCGUUUACUGUCAGUUUCGCUGACUCUAUCCGAGAAAGGGUGUCUGCCCUUUCAACUAGAUGGUAAUCUAUUGGACUACCAUGGUUGUUACGGGUAACGGAGAAUUAGGGUUCGACUCCGGAGAGGGAGCCUUAGAAACGGCUACCACGUCCAAGGAAGGCAGCAGGCGCGAAACUUAUCCACUGUUGAGUAUGAGAUAGUGACUAAAAAUAUAAAGACUCAUCCUUUUGGAUGAGUUAUUUCAAUGAGUUGAAUAUAAAUUAUUCUUCGAGUAGCAAGGAGAGGGCAAGUCUGGUGCCAGCAGCCGCGGUAAUUCCAGCUCUCCUAGUGUAUCUCGUUAUUGCUGCGGUUAAAAAGCUCGUAGUUGGAUCUAGGUUACGUGCCGCAGUUCGCAAUUUGCGUUAACUGUGGUCGUGACUUCUAAUUUGCUGGUUUGAGGUUGGGUUCGCCCUUCAACUGCCAGCAGGUUUACCUUGAAUAAAUCAGAGUGCUCAAUACAGGCGCUUGCUUGAAUAGCUCAUCAUGGAAUAAUGAAACAGGACUUCGGUUCUUUUUGUUGGUUCUAGAAUUGAUCUAAUGGUUAAGAGGGACAAACCGGGGGCAUUCGUAUCAUUACGCGAGAGGUGAAAUUCGUGGACCGUAGUGAGACGCCCAAUAGCGAAAGCAUUUGCCAAGAAUGUCUUCAUUAAUCAAGAACGAAAGUCAGAGGUUCGAAGGCGAUUAGAUACCGCCCUAGUUCUGACCGUAAACGAUGCCAUCUCGCGAUUCGGAGGGUUCAUGCCCUACCGAGGAGCUACCCGGAAACGAAAGUCUUUCGGUUCCGGGGGUAGUAUGGUUGCAAAGCUGAAACUUAAAGAAAUUGACGGAAGGGCACCACAAGGCGUGGAGCUUGCGGCUUAAUUUGACUCAACACGGGAAAACUCACCCGGUCCGGACACUAUUAGGACUGACAGAUUGAAAGCUCUUUCUCGAUUUGGUGGUGG
Molecule: non-coding RNA, 1083 nt
Organism: Caenorhabditis japonica
Lineage: Eukaryota; Metazoa; Nematoda; Chromadorea; Rhabditida; Rhabditidae
Source: Rfam